This 438-nucleotide ribosomal RNA is filed under the name uncultured bacterium. Its description in RNAcentral is "bacterial SSU rRNA". It matches the Rfam family "Bacterial small subunit ribosomal RNA", at positions 23 to 507 of the family's 1533-position model. The record is from RNAcentral.
CUCAGAACGUACGCUGGCGGCACGCCUAACACAUGCAAGUCGAACGCAGUAGCAAUACUGAGUGGCAAAUGGGUGAGUAUAAUGUGGGAAUCUGCCUUUUGGUUUGGAAUAACACGGGGAAACUUGUGCUAAUACCGAAUAAGCCCUUACGGGGAAAGUUUUAACGCCGAAAGAUGAGCCCGCACUUGAUUAGCUAGUUGGUAAGGUAAAAGCUUACCAAGGCAAUGAUCAAUAGCUGUUCUUAGAGGAAGACCAGCCACAUUGGGACUGAGACACGGCCCAGACUCCUACGGUAUUUUGCAGUGGGGAAUCUUGCACAAUGGGGGAAACCCUGAUGCAGCGAUGCCGCGUGAGUGAAGAAGGCCCUUGGGUUGUAAAACUCUUUCGUCGGGGAAGAAAAUGACUGUACCCGAAUAAGAAGGUCCGGCUAACUUCGUG